Molecule: non-coding RNA, 279 nt
Organism: Vicia faba (fava bean)
Lineage: Eukaryota; Viridiplantae; Streptophyta; Magnoliopsida; Fabales; Fabaceae
Source: the annotation of a GenBank genome assembly
AUGCCAAUCGACGCAACACCCAAUCAGCGUGAAGUGCCUCCGGUGCCCAUCGUUCCGCUGCCUACUCCCUCCAGCAACAUCGUGCAUCAUUCCAAUGACGAGCAACAUCUCGAUAUCAGCCACACCGCUCAAAUCCGCCUUCGCAAGCACUUCAACGACUCCGGCUUCAUUCUACUUCCAGUCUCUCCCCUGCAUCCUCUGUCCUCCGUUCACCGUCAAUUUAACCGUCCCGACCUCCAACUAGCCAGCGAAUCAAAGCGAGCACCAUCGAAUUUCUGA